RNAcentral lists this small nuclear RNA (19 nucleotides) under Arabidopsis thaliana (thale cress). Its description in RNAcentral is "snRNA_10201". Lineage: Eukaryota; Viridiplantae; Streptophyta; Magnoliopsida; Brassicales; Brassicaceae. The record is from RNAcentral.
CUUUUUCGGGCAUUUUCGU